RNAcentral lists this unclassified non-coding RNA (1476 nucleotides) under Hevea brasiliensis (rubber tree). Lineage: Eukaryota; Viridiplantae; Streptophyta; Magnoliopsida; Malpighiales; Euphorbiaceae. The record is from RNAcentral.
GAAAAUGCUCCGAGUUUAGAAGGACCUGAAAGACAAAAUUUAUUCGAACAUGAGUUUGAAUUUGGGCAAAAUUUGGAAAGCGUUCAAAGUAAAAAGGCAAAAUCGCAUGGACCAACGUCCAGUAAGUUGGAAACAAGUUCUACCACUCACAUGGGCACCGAAUAUGUAUCCUUGGAAGAUCUUGCUCCUUUGGCAAUGGAUAAAAUUGAAGCCCUUUCAAUUGAGGGUUUGAGAAUACAGACAGGCAUGUCAGAUGAGGAUGCACCUUCAAACAUCAGUGCUCAAUCUAUCAGCAAUUUUUCGGCCUUUGAGGGACAGAAGGUCAAUUUGGGUGGAGCAGUAGGUCUCGAAGGGGCAGGUGGAUUGAAGCUUCUGGACAUUAAAGACAAUGGUGAUGACGUUGAUGGGCUUAUGGGCUUAUCUCUGACCCUUGAUGAAUGGAUGAGGUUGGACUCGGGAGAGAUUGACGAUGAAGAUGAGAUUAGCGAGCGAACCUCCAAACUGCUGGCAGCUCAUCAUGCUAUCAGCACAGACUUGUUUCAGGACAGGUCAAAGGGAGAGAAGAGACGCGGAAAGGGUAGGAAAUGUGGUUUGCUGGGAAACAACUUUACAGUGGCACUAAUGGUGCAGCUCCGUGAUCCCUUGCGGAAUUAUGAGCCAGUUGGUACACCUAUGCUUGCUCUUGUCCAGGUAGAGAGAGUGUUUGUACCACCUAAACCUAAGAUAUACAGCACAGUUUCUGAGGUUAGAAACAACAAUGAAGAUGAUGACGAUGAAUCUGCACCUCCCAAAAAUGACUCAAAUGUGGACAUCAAAGAAGAGAAAAUACCCCAGGAUGAGCCAAUCGCACAGUACAAAAUAACCGAAGUGCAUGUUGCAGGUCUGAAGAGUGAACAAGGUAAAAAGAAAUUAUGGGGUUCCACAACUCAAGAACAGUCAGGCUCUCGUUGGUUGGUUGCUAAUGGAAUGGGAAAGAAAAAUAAACAUCCAUUUAUGAAGUCAAAGGCUGCUAAUAAAUCUUCAAAGGAAGCUGCUUCAUCAGCAACAACCACUGUGCAGCCUGGUGAUACACUAUGGAGCAUAUCUUCUAGGGUACAUGGUACAGGCACUAAAUGGAAGGAUAUAGCAGCACUAAAUCCACAUAUUCGGAAUCCAAAUGUGAUACUACCUAAUGAAACAAUCAGACUGAGGUAGUGGUGGAAACUUUGGUAUUUAUGGGAACGACGAAUUUUGAAUGUGACCACCCAAACGCAGGUGCAAGUUUGAAUUGAACAUGAAAGAGCUUGUGAGUGGUGCAGGAGACAAAGGAGUGACGUGCUCUGCCUAAAUGUCUCUGUAUGGCCAUAGCGAUUGUGCUGAACCAGUAUAUGUUUGUGCAAGCAGUUGUCAAGGAAUAUAUUGUUAUGUUUUUGUGCUCUUCUGUAAAUGUGUUUGAUUUUGUACAUGGUUAGUUGUUGUCAUGUACUGAGAAUCGUG